RNAcentral lists this ribosomal RNA (141 nucleotides) under uncultured eukaryote. RNAcentral describes it as "partial 18S ribosomal RNA". It matches the Rfam family "Eukaryotic small subunit ribosomal RNA", at positions 1299 to 1458 of the family's 1831-position model. The record is from RNAcentral.
UGGUGGAGUGAUUUGUCUGGUUAAUUCCGUUAACGAACGAGACCUCGACCUGCUAAAUAGGUCUAAUCAUCUUUGGAUGGUUAGAGCUUCUUAGAGGGACUACGGUACUAUUAAAGUCCGGGGAAGUUCGAGGCAAUAACA